AGGGGCAUGGUGUUCAACGGCUAGCACGUCGGUCUCCAAAACCGAAGGUCCGGGUUCGAUUCCUGGUGCCCCUGCCA
Molecule: transfer RNA, 77 nt
Filed under: Nitrospira sp.
Lineage: Bacteria; Pseudomonadati; Nitrospirota; Nitrospiria; Nitrospirales; Nitrospiraceae
Also listed under: 10 other names
Description: tRNA-Trp
Rfam family: tRNA
About the family: Transfer RNA (tRNA) molecules are approximately 80 nucleotides in length. Their secondary structure includes four short double-helical elements and three loops (D, anti-codon, and T loops).
Source: RNAcentral